This 465-nucleotide ribosomal RNA is filed under the name uncultured bacterium. RNAcentral describes it as "partial 16S ribosomal RNA". It matches the Rfam family "Bacterial small subunit ribosomal RNA", at positions 338 to 795 of the family's 1533-position model. The record is from RNAcentral.
CCUACGGGUGGCAGCAGUGGGGAAUAUUGCGCAAUGGGCGAAAGCCUGACGCAGCGACGCCGCGUGAGGGAUGAAGGUCUUCGGAUCGUAAACCUCUGUCAGCAGGGAAGAACGGUCACUGUGCUAAUCAGCCGUGAAUUGACGGUACCUGCAAAGGAAGCACCGGCUAACUCCGUGCCAGCAGCCGCGGUAAUACGGAGGGUGCGAGCGUUCAUCGGAAUUACUGGGCGUAAAGCGCUCGUAGGCGGUAUGUCAAGUCAAGGGUGAAAUCCCCGCGCUCAACGUGGGAACUGCCUUUGAAACUGGCAGGCUGGAGUGUGUGAGAGGAAGGUGGAAUGCCAGGUGUAGGGGUGAAAUGCGUAGAUAUCAGGAGGAACAUCGGUGGCGAAGGCGGCUAUCUGGACCAUAACUGACGCUGAGGAGCGAAAGCGUGGGUAGCAAACAGGAUUAGAUACCCGAGUAGUC